AGCCGAAUAGGACAAUAGUGAUAAGAGCUUUAUGAGCAAGUAGUCCAUGAGUGCAUUUAUUCUUUGCCUUGGCUUCUCUUCCUCUUGUGAGACAGUUGUCCUCAGUUUAUUUAUUCUGACAGUAGAGGGAUGAAGACGUUGGAUUGUCACUAAUGGGUUUGGACAAGAAGAAUCUUACUCACAUGUCUUUCUCAGAGCUUUCUGGAU
This 207-nucleotide long non-coding RNA is filed under the name Elaeis guineensis (African oil palm). RNAcentral describes it as "long non-coding RNA (EGUI_LNC004052)". The record is from RNAcentral. Lineage: Eukaryota; Viridiplantae; Streptophyta; Magnoliopsida; Arecales; Arecaceae.